Molecule: long non-coding RNA, 1966 nt
Filed under: Homo sapiens (human)
Lineage: Eukaryota; Metazoa; Chordata; Mammalia; Primates; Hominidae
Description: HSALNT0052159
Source: RNAcentral
GAAAAUGAAACUUGUGAUGAAAAGAGGGGCUCUGACUUUUGAUGCAUUAGUUCUUAUAAAAAUUAAUCAUCAACUUACUUGUUUUCACUAAAAAAGGCCCUUGAGAGUAUUCCCUUAAGGAAAUAAGGAGACUUACUAGAGACUCAGAUCUUUUCUGUCCAUUUCAUAACCCAAGUGGCAUGGACUCUUACCAAAAAGAGACAGUGAAACUUUUAUGAAAAGUAACCUGAAUGUAAACAAUCUAACUCUGUUACAUUCCAUUUUUAAAAAACAGGCAGUCAAUAUAACAGCAUCUUAUUUAUUUGCCAGUGAUAUAGGUAGGGAAAACUUUGUGGAUGAGGGGCCCGACUAAGUUGGUGGAAGACUCUUGACAGUAGAGGUUAUGAGCUUGGACUUACAUCAAGAUAGCAGUCAAACCUUAAUUCUAAAAGUGACACAUGCCAUUAGUAUUGGUAGAUUUGUAUAAUUUUCCCACAUAUAGAAAUGAUUUAAUUCACAAUCUCAUCUUCUAGAAAGUUGGCAUAUAACUCUUUGUACUGUUUUCAAGGAAUUUGUUCAGAAAGUGAGAACAUGUAUUAUGAAUGCCUUCAAGUCAUUUACCAUAACUAUUCAAAGAAGGAAUGAUAAAAUUUAUAGAGGACAAUUUCAGUUCUCUCUAAAUUAUUCAUUUUUAAAAAUUCAAAAUCAAGAUAAAGAGGAAAAUAGCUAAAGAAAUCCAACAGAAUUCUUGUUUGACAGUAAUUGGAAACCAGUGAUUGGAAGCAGUUGGUGCAAUAUGUUCUACAAAGGACUUUUUUAAUUUUAUUUUUUUGGUUGCUUUCACAGCUCUUCACCCUUUCAAUGCUGCUUAAAGAAAUGCAAGUGCCAAAAAUGGUGCUGAAGAACUUUCCUAGCUGGACAGAAAAGUUUUGAAAAGAGAGCUGCAUUUUUAAUAGACUAACUUAUAUCUUAUUCAAAUUUUAGGAAAGAAUCCUCUCAUUGUGAGUUUCUUUUUUUUCUGAAAAUAAGAAAUGACUCUAGAAGAAAAUACAAUCUGUGAGCAUGAUUCAAGGAUUUUCUUGCCACCCAUGCCUGGUUCUCUGUAGGGCUAAAGUGAUAGACACAUGACAAAAGGUACCCUCCCCCACCUCCAUAAUGAGCAGCCAAGCUUUUACUCUUAUGGCUCUUUGUUUCUGGGGACUAGAGGCAAAGGGUACCACUUUCAGGCUAGCACAACUUUCUUCCCUUCUGAACACCUCCCUACUCCACAUCCUACUAUGUUCUGGCAGAUAGAGUUUCAACACGAUUGUAAAGAUGCUAGGCAUCCCUUUGGAAUCCUAGAAAAGCAGAAUUGUGCAGGAGAAUGUCACUCAUUUUGGUUACUACCCCAGAUCUGUGAGGGGAAAUGGAAAAAGGAUGAAGUCUCCUACUCUAUUUUUUCCAUUCUUUUAAAUAAGGGAUUCUGUCUUAUUUAAGGACAAAGCAUCAUUGGGCCAUAUGGUUUUUCUUCAACUAGUUCCAUGAGCCUUAUAGUUAGAAAUAUAUUCCUAAUGCUGGCCUUAGAUAAGUUGUAUUAAUUUUCAGCAUUGUUAUAAGAUCUCUGGAACUUCAAAGAUAUUUGAGUUGGAAAGCGAAGAGGCUAACUCAACAUGCUUUUAAAUGAAAAAACCUAACUUUACCAGUUUUCACAUUAAAGAAAUUUAUGUCUUUUGGCCACACACACACAAAUCCACCAAAUAUUGAGUGUUGAAAUUGGAAUUUUCAUGAACAUUUAAAUCAGAUCCAUAUUUUCAAUCAUGACUAUUUUUCUCUUUUUCAUGGGCAUGUCAUCAAUACUGUGAAAACCCUAAAGGAGAAAUAAAUGGAGAAGCAUGCCAGAAUCACACGUGAUGUUGAAAUGGGUUCUAAUGCUUUUCAAGAUUUUACUGUUCCUUUUUCUCAUAUUUAUCCCAAGAGUAUAAAAGUUCAGUGAAAUGCUUUCCUGGGG